AGUUUGAUCCUGGCUCAGAACGAACGCUGGCGGCAGGCUUAACACAUGCAAGUCGAGCGCCCCGCAAGGGGAGCGGCAGACGGGUGAGUAACGCGUGGGAAUYUACCCUUGACUACGGAAUAACGCAGGGAAACUUGUGCUAAUACCGUAUGUGUCCUUCGGGAGAAAGAUUUAUCGGUCAAGGAUGAGCCCGCGUUGGAUUAGCUAGUUGGUGGGGUAAAGGCCUACCAAGGCGACGAUCCAUAGCUGGUCUGAGAGGAUGAUCAGCCACAUUGGGACUGAGACACGGCCCAAACUCCUACGGGAGGMAGCAGUGGGGAAUAUUGGACAAKGGGSGCAAGCCUGAUCCARCCAUGCCGCGUGAGUGAUGAAGGCCCUAGGG
This 382-nucleotide ribosomal RNA is filed under the name Rhizobium leguminosarum. RNAcentral's name for it is "bacterial SSU rRNA". It matches the Rfam family "Bacterial small subunit ribosomal RNA", at positions 10 to 422 of the family's 1533-position model. Lineage: Bacteria; Pseudomonadati; Pseudomonadota; Alphaproteobacteria; Hyphomicrobiales; Rhizobiaceae. The record is from RNAcentral.